This 137-nucleotide ribosomal RNA is filed under the name uncultured bacterium. Its description in RNAcentral is "partial 16S ribosomal RNA". It matches the Rfam family "Bacterial small subunit ribosomal RNA", at positions 355 to 510 of the family's 1533-position model. The record is from RNAcentral.
UGGGGAAUAUUGCACAAUGGGCGAAAGCCUGAUGCAGCAACGCCGCGUGAGCGAUGAAGGCCUUGGGUCGUAAAGCUCUGUCCUCAAGGAAGAUAAUGACGGUACUUGAGGAGGAAGCCCCGGCUAACUACGUGCCA